RNAcentral lists this ribosomal RNA (743 nucleotides) under Staphylococcus sp. DBT18. RNAcentral's name for it is "bacterial SSU rRNA". It matches the Rfam family "Bacterial small subunit ribosomal RNA", at positions 70 to 799 of the family's 1533-position model. The record is from RNAcentral. Lineage: Bacteria; Bacillati; Bacillota; Bacilli; Caryophanales; Staphylococcaceae.
GAUAAGGAGCUUGCUCCUUUGACGUUAGCGGCGGACGGGUGAGUAACACGUGGGUAACCUACCUAUAAGACUGGGAUAACUUCGGGAAACCGGAGCUAAUACCGGAUAACAUUUGGAACCGCAUGGUUCUAAAGUGAAAGAUGGUUUUGCUAUCACUUAUAGAUGGACCCGCGCCGUAUUAGCUAGUUGGUAAGGUAACGGCUUACCAAGGCAACGAUACGUAGCCGACCUGAGAGGGUGAUCGGCCACACUGGAACUGAGACACGGUCCAGACUCCUACGGGAGGCAGCAGUAGGGAAUCUUCCGCAAUGGGCGAAAGCCUGACGGAGCAACGCCGCGUGAGUGAUGAAGGGUUUCGGCUCGUAAAACUCUGUUAUUAGGGAAGAACAAAUGUGUAAGUAACUGUGCACAUCUUGACGGUACCUAAUCAGAAAGCCACGGCUAACUACGUGCCAGCAGCCGCGGUAAUACGUAGGUGGCAAGCGUUAUCCGGAAUUAUUGGGCGUAAAGCGCGCGUAGGCGGUUUCUUAAGUCUGAUGUGAAAGCCCACGGCUCAACCGUGGAGGGUCAUUGGAAACUGGGAAACUUGAGUGCAGAAGAGGAAAGUGGAAUUCCAUGUGUAGCGGUGAAAUGCGCAGAGAUAUGGAGGAACACCAGUGGCGAAGGCGACUUUCUGGUCUGUAACUGACGCUGAUGUGCGAAAGCGUGGGGAUCAAACAGGAUUAGAUACCCUGGUAGUCACG